Long non-coding RNA from Triticum dicoccoides, 2708 nucleotides. RefSeq lists it as uncharacterized. The record is from RefSeq and is a predicted model, not a curated record. NCBI's taxonomy places the organism in Eukaryota, Viridiplantae, Streptophyta, Magnoliopsida, Poales, Poaceae. The transcript is spliced from 6 exons.
GACCCGCUCACCCCGCCGCUCCGCCCGUCCCGCUCGCCCCCUUCCCAGCCGCUCACCCCGCCCGUCCCGCUCGCCAUGGCCGAUGACCACGCCACCAGAGACCGCGGACCUUGGCGCAGGCUCGUGCUCCCGAGCGGUGGUCCCUCCUCGUCGCCACCCCUCUCCUCUGCCCCGUGUCGGAUCCGAGGCAUGCGGGCACAGAGGCGAGCUUCUCCAGCGGUGCCCGCCUCCCUCUCGUCUCCUCAAUCCUCUUCAUAUCGUCCCGCGUUCUCGAUCUAUGCCGCCACGUGCUGUGGUUCUGGAUUGGGCACAGACUCCCGCCAUUGGAGAGCAGCGGCGGUGAGGUCUUCAGCUCGGGUACGAGGAGCAGGGGGGUGAGGUGGACGGUGUUGUGGGGAAGAAGUGAUUGAUGUGGCCGGCAGCGAGCGCCGGUGAGCGACGAGGAGGCCACCAUCUCUCCUCAUAUCCUCCCAGAUGCUCGAUUGGAGCGGGGGAUAGACGCCGCCACAAGCCACCGGGGAUGCCACUGCAUUGUCGUCGGCUGGACGAGGAAAACAGCAAGAUGCUGGCCUAUGCAUCGGACGUGGGCCGCUUCAGCUUUAGGGGAGAUUUGACGAUGGCGCAAGGUCCCCCACUUCCUUGUUGUGGCGCUGCAGCGUCAUGGGCCCUUCUGAAGGGAGGCACAUCGGAGGGUGGUAGCAGGUACGUCACUUGAUAACUAGCCUUGCUAAAACAACCAGUGGUUGUCGUGGCCUGAAGCAGCAAGUAUUGUGGAGAUUGAUGGACUAGGUGUUUGCAGCCGCAGUCCAUCAUGCUCUCGGUUGCUGACCUUGAGGUCCAGCCGCAGCUGCCCGUCGCUUAGGGGAUGCUUCUAAGCUGCAAUGCUCCAUGUCCGAUGCAAUAUGUUUCUGCUUUAUUGAAGAGGAGUAACUUGUGCCGGGAAAGAUUCCCGAAGGUGAUGUCAGAUCAUUGGUAAAUAACAAGGAAUCCUUAGAACCUGUCAUCCGGUAGUAUUUGUCUGCGAUAGACCUAGAUUGUAGGAUUGCAUGAGUUGGGGCUUGCGAUUGCCCAUUGUGGUGCACAGUACUGCCAGGGGUGGCUGUUUGUUUACUGCAGGGGGUGUUGAUCUGAUGUCCCAUUAUUUGAUUACAUGUUUGAUGCUCUCCAAAAAAUGCUACAAAUAAUCAUAAGAAACUUCUCGCGAUAGAUUUACAAUUAGGGAUAUUUCCAAAUGUUUACUUCUAAUUCAUUAGCACAUCCUCUGUUUUUUUAAUUAAUUGUUGCCUCCUGCUUUUUGUUUAUCUUAGUCUUCUGGUGCUUUUGGUGUAUGGGCAAAACAGGUCAGAGUACAAAGUGGUGAAUUGCAUUUCACAUGCCAAGAUAAACAAAGAAUAAAAAAAGAAAACAUGGUAUUCUCUAACACAAGAGCAUGAUACCUUGGGUCCAUUGGUGCAGACAAAGAGAUAAGAACUACUUAUGCUGCAAUAGUUUCAGUGGAAGUAUAGUCAGGUGUUUAAUUGUUUUUUACAGUUUUAGCUAAUUGGCUGGGUAUCCACUUUAUCUUUUGUGCUUGCACAUAUAAUCGAUUCUCUGGUCCUACUCGCAUGUUCUCUAAUUAUCUUGGAGUGCUGGCAAGUAAUUAGAACAUAUCUUGGUCCAUACUUGCAUUAGAAUAUGCCACAUAGAAGGAUGUGGCAUAUCUUGGAAUAAGAAUGGCCACACGAGCAUUCUGUCAUGAUAUUGUAAUGAGUGGUCGAUACUUGUGGCAGUGCUGCAAUGGUGCUAUGAUGCAUGUUUGCACAAGAUGCCUGUAAAUUAUUGAUCUUCGUCGUGCUUCCUGCUUACUAUUAGUUCAAUUGAGCCCAAUCUUUCUGGUCGUAUUGCUACAUGCUUAUGAUUAAUUUCUCUAUUUCUUGGUUGUUGUAUUGUAGGACAGGGAGGCAGAAGAGAGGGCAUGCCGGGGAAUGAAGGAGAACAAACAUAAGUAGUACUUGCCACUAUUCAGAUUUCUUUGUUGUUGCAUUACAGGAUUGUAGGGUGUUUAGAUUUUAAAUGCUGGCAUUGAUCGAGGUGUUAACUGGUUUUUAGUUCUGAUUAGAUGCGAAUCAGGUUUUAGUUAUGAUGAGAUGCAGAAAUUGUUGAGAGAGGGCAUGAAUGGUCUAUAUUUUAACCGUGCUUUUAUUCCCUUUUGCCCUUUCCAAAGGGACUGCUCUACCUUUUGUUGACAACAAUAUAUUUAUUAAGCUAGGAGGCUGCACCGGUCAUGAAUUUAAAUAGGCUUGCUACCACUUUAUUUUGGUCAACAUUUUUGGCCCUGAACAUGUUAUGUUUUGAUUUAUGAGGUUAAAGCAUACUACUGCUUGCAUAAAUAGCAACCUGUUGAAAGUAUUGUUGGGUCACUUUUAGGCUUCUAGCUAUUUUGAUUUUAUCAUAUACAACACUUUCAGACCAGUAAAUACAAUGACCUCCCUUUUACAUUAAAUAAUCGCGAUUGUUCUCAUACCAUUUGGCAUUUGCAGAGUGUCUCAGGCACACAAGCUAAAGGUUCACCAAGUUUAGGGAAAGAAAAGUUUCCCUAGACAGGUGGCGGCGGCGGUCAAGACAAGAGCGGCGCUGUGAGCGAUGGCCCUCGAUCGUCUUCCUUGUGGAAUCAGGUACGCUUCGUCCAUCGUGGCCCAUCGUGGGUGUUGGCGAGUGGUCGGAGGCGG